Molecule: ribosomal RNA, 422 nt
Filed under: uncultured bacterium
Lineage: Bacteria
Description: bacterial SSU rRNA
Rfam family: Bacterial small subunit ribosomal RNA
Source: RNAcentral
UAAGGAAUAUUGGACAAUGGAGGCAACUCUGAUCCAGCCAUGCCGCGUGAAGGAAUAAGGCCCUAUGGGUUGUAAACUUCUUUUAGACGGGACAAAACCCCUUUACGUGUAAAGGGUUGAUGGUACUGUCAGAAUAAGCAUCGGCUAACUUCGUGCCAGCAGCCGCGGUAAUACGAAGGAUGCAAGCGUUAUCCGGAAUUAUUGGGUUUAAAGGGUGCGUAGGCGGACUAAUAAGUCAGUGGUGAAAGCCUGCAGCUUAACUGCAGAAUUGCCAUUGNUACUGUUAGUCUUGAGUACAGUUGAGGUAGGCGGAAUGUGUCAUGUAGCGGUGAAAUGCUUAGAUAUGACACAGAACACCGAUUGCGAAGGCAGCUUGCUAAGCUGUAACUGACGCUGAGGCACGAAAGCGUGGGGAGCAAACA